ACUAGCGGGAGGGGGCCGGGCUAGCGGGCUACUGGGCUGCGGAGACCAGAGCCCGGCUCCACUGAAGAAACCCGCCGGCUGCUGGGGCAGGGCGGCGAAAGGUCAGUCGGCCGAGAGGAGUCCGUGGAGCCACCGUUUCAUAGCCUCAGGGAAAGGAUCGGGCGUGCUCACGAGCCCUCUAACCCAUGGCUUAAACACCCGCUUCCUAAGCCUGGGUUCUUAUGCCUUUGUUUGAAAAACAUGGUUCCCUGUGAAAUUUUACAUGUAGAAGAAAGCUUCACACUACGAGAGCUCUCAGGAUAUAAUUAUUUCAGACAGAUACUGGGAACAUAAGAUGGCUUAUCAAUCUAAGAUGGCCUUCCUGUCCUUCGGAUUGAACUGAAACCAUCCCUGAUUCCAGGGAUAGGUAGAUGAUCCAGGUUUGGACAAUCAAAAUAUUGAACCACCCUGGACCUACAAGUGUUUCUGGGAUGGGAACAUGCAAACGUUGGUCCAAAUUGUUGUUCUAGGCAGCCCAGUACAUUUCUCCAAUGCCUGAUGGAAUGAUAGGGUAUGCAUAAAUGUUCAUGUGGGCUCUGGAGUAUACCAGGAACUGAAGUAAGGUACAUGGACGUCUUGAAUAUUGUAACUGAGAUGGGCAAGCCUACACCUUUGCAAAUAAAGGAGGAUUGGGAAAGAUUAAGAUCCUGUUAAACGUCAGUGUUACUAUUUAGCCUUUGAUAUCUCCAGUAAAGGCAACUUCUUUCUGGACCCAGAAAUAAAGCUUUACAUUAGCAGCUUCCAUAACACCAAUAACAUGAAUGACCAUCUACUGAGCAAUUGCAGUGCACCAGGAUUAUGGCUUAUGAGCACUUUAUGUUUAUUAUCUCACAACUCACUGAGUUAGAUACUCUCCACAACCCAGUGAGCCUCUCAAGCACUGUGAAAAAUCACUUUCUCUUGUUGUAUUCUUGGAGCCCCUGCUAAUUCAUUAUUGAAAAAUACCUGCUGCCUGCAUUUGGCCUUAUGUUGUCAUUUACUUGGUACUUCCUAAGCGUGGCUACUCCAAUGAAGCUUUAGUAUAUGUACUGAAAGAAGAUCCUCUCAUACUGCCACAGCCAAGAGAUAAGGUUGUAAAUCUUUAUUGGGAGAAGCCGUCAAGGACAGUUCUGUGAAAUGAAAGGAUCUCUGGAUCACCACAAAGUCUGGCUCAGUGACUAUGGCUUUGCAAACACUAAACAUUCCUGUCUCAAGUCCUGUAGAUGGCUUGAAAUAGUAUACAUAAGCAUGCCUUAUAAACAUCUUCAGUCUUUAUCAACUCUUUGGAGAUUCAGCCAUUCUUUUUUGUACUUUAGGGAAUUAAAUCAUUUUAUAAUGUAUAAAUCUGAGCAUGGCCGAUGGCAGAAGAAAUUUUGUCAUACGUUUUUAAAGAAAUAAAAAUGUAUUAUGUUUUAAA
RNAcentral lists this long non-coding RNA (1435 nucleotides) under Homo sapiens (human). Its description in RNAcentral is "HSALNT0294248". The record is from RNAcentral. Lineage: Eukaryota; Metazoa; Chordata; Mammalia; Primates; Hominidae.